UACGUAGGGGGCUAGCGUUGUCCGGAAUCAUUGGGCGUAAAGAGCGUGUAGGCGGCCCGGUAAGUCCGCUGUGAAAGUCGGGGGCUCAACCCUCGAAUGCCGGUGGAUACUGUCGGGCUAGAGUGCGGAAGAGGCGAGUGGAAUUCCUGGUGUAGCGGUGAAAUGCGUAGAUAUCUGGAGGAACACCGGUGGCGAAGGCGGCAUCCUGGACCGGUAUUGACGCUGAUGCGCGAAAGCCAGGGGAGCAAACGGG
This 253-nucleotide ribosomal RNA is filed under the name uncultured bacterium. RNAcentral's name for it is "partial 16S ribosomal RNA". It matches the Rfam family "Bacterial small subunit ribosomal RNA", at positions 524 to 776 of the family's 1533-position model. The record is from RNAcentral.